This 211-nucleotide unclassified non-coding RNA is filed under the name Hevea brasiliensis (rubber tree). The record is from RNAcentral. Lineage: Eukaryota; Viridiplantae; Streptophyta; Magnoliopsida; Malpighiales; Euphorbiaceae.
CUAGGUUGAUAAGCCUCCUCAAAGCUUAUCAGUGAUUCUGGGUCUGUGCAAGAGAAUGGUGAAGAAACAGACUUUUCUUCAAAGGUUCCACUAGACAAAUCCUGUUGAACUGAGGUAUCUUGGAUAUAACAGGAAGAAUCUUCCUCUCUUGUUGACAAGAUGGAUUUUCUUGAUUCUAAUUGAUGCCCUGGCAGAUCCUCUUCCCAUCCUU